UGGGAAACUGAAGGCUUGGCCGGCUGUGA
RNAcentral lists this non-coding RNA (29 nucleotides) under Rattus norvegicus (Norway rat). Lineage: Eukaryota; Metazoa; Chordata; Mammalia; Rodentia; Muridae. The record is from RNAcentral.